RNAcentral lists this ribosomal RNA (166 nucleotides) under Legionella pneumophila str. Leg01/20. RNAcentral's name for it is "partial 23S ribosomal RNA". It matches the Rfam family "Bacterial large subunit ribosomal RNA", at positions 2752 to 2925 of the family's 2925-position model. The record is from RNAcentral. Lineage: Bacteria; Pseudomonadati; Pseudomonadota; Gammaproteobacteria; Legionellales; Legionellaceae.
AGUUCGGACGGGAUAACCGCUGAAAGCAUCUAAGCGGGAAGCCUCCCUCAAGAUGAGUUUUCCCAUGAAGCCCGUUGAAGACUACGACGUUGAUAGGCAAGGUGUGGAAGCGCAGUAAUGCGUGAAGCUAACUUGUACUAAUUGGCUGAUUGUCUUGACCAUAUAA